CAGAGGUCCCAAGCGUUGUUCGGAUUCACUGGGCGUAAAGGGUGCGUAGGUGGCGAGGUAAGUCGGAUGUGAAAGCUCGGAGCUCAACUCCGAAAUGGCAUUGGAAACUACCUUGCUCGAGGGUUGGAAGGGGGACUGGAAUGCUUGGUGUAGCAGUGAAAUGCGUAGAUAUCAAGCGGAACACCAGUGGCGAAGGCGAGUCCCUGGACAACUCCUGACACUGAGGCACGAAAGCUAGGGGAGCAAACAGGAUUAGAUACCCUGGUAGUCCUAGCCGUAAACGGUGCAUGUUUGCUGUAAAAGGAAUCGACCCCUUUUGUGGCGUAGCCAACGCGUUAAACAUGCCGCCUGGGAAGUACGGUCGCAAGAUUAA
Molecule: ribosomal RNA, 373 nt
Filed under: uncultured organism
Description: bacterial SSU rRNA
Rfam family: Bacterial small subunit ribosomal RNA
Source: RNAcentral